GACGAACGCUGGCGGCGUGCUUAACACAUGCAAGUCGAACGGAAAGGCCUGCUUUCCCUCGUGGAUUGCGGGUACUCGAGUGGCGAACGGGUGAGUAACACGUGAGUGAUCUGCCCCCAACUUGGGUAUAAGCCUGGGAUACUGGGUCUAAUUCCCGAUAGGACUGCAGGGUGGUUCCUGUGGUGGAAAACGAUUUUCUAGUGGUUGGGGAUGAGCUCGCGGCCUAUGAGCUUGUUGGUGGGGUAAUGGCCUACCAAUGCGGCGACGGGUAGCCGGCCUGAGAUGGUGGACGCGCGCAUUGGGACUGGGUUACGGCCCAGACUCGUACGGGAGGCAGGAGUUGGGAGUAUUGCACAAUGGGCGGAAGCCUGAUGCGGCGACGCCGCGUGGGGGAUGACGGCCUUCGGGUUGUAAACUACUUUCGAGCGCGAGGAAGCCACCUGGUUGGAAGGGUGGUGACGGUAGUGGUAGAAGAAGCACCGGCUAACUACGUG
This 494-nucleotide ribosomal RNA is filed under the name uncultured bacterium. Its description in RNAcentral is "partial 16S ribosomal RNA". It matches the Rfam family "Bacterial small subunit ribosomal RNA", at positions 28 to 507 of the family's 1533-position model. The record is from RNAcentral.